RNAcentral lists this ribosomal RNA (448 nucleotides) under uncultured bacterium. Its description in RNAcentral is "SSU rRNA". It matches the Rfam family "Bacterial small subunit ribosomal RNA", at positions 26 to 518 of the family's 1533-position model. The record is from RNAcentral.
AGAGCGAACGCUGGCGGCAGGCUUAACACAUGCAAGUCGAGCGGGCGUAGCAAUACGUCAGCGGCAGACGGGUGAGUAACGCGUGGGAACAUACCUUUUGGUUCGGAACAACACAGGGAAACUUGUGCUAAUACCGGAUACGCCCUUACGGGGAAAGAUUUAUCGCCGAAAGAUUGGCCCGCGUCUGAUUAGCUAGUUGGUGAGGUAAUGGCUCACCAAGGCGACGAUCAGUAGCUGGUCUGAGAGGAUGAUCAGCCACAUUGGGACUGAGACACGGCCCAAACUCCUACGGGAGGCAGCAGUGGGGAAUAUUGGACAAUGGGCGCAAGCCUGAUCCAGCCAUGCCGCGUGAGUGAUGAAGGCCCUAGGGUUGUAAAGCUCUUUUGUGCGGGAAGAUAAUGACGGUACCGCAAGAAUAAGCCCGGCUAACGUUCGCGCCAGCAGCCGC